AACGAACGCUGGCGGCAUGCCUAACACAUGCAAGUCGAACGAGACCUUCGGGUCUAGUGGCGCACGGGUGCGUAACGCGUGGGAACCUGCCCUUAGGUUCGGAAUAACUCCCCGAAAGGGGUGCUAAUACCGGAUAAUGUCUUCGGACCAAAGAUUUAUCGCCUUUGGAUGGGCCCGCGUUGGAUUAGCUAGUUGGUAGGGUAAAAGCCUACCAAGGCGACGAUCCAUAGCUGGUCUGAGAGGAUGAUCAGCCACACUGGGACUGAGACACGGCCCAGACUCCUCGGGGGGGCAGAAGGGGGGAUGUUGGGAAAGUGGGCAAAAGCCUAACCCAGCAAGGCCGCGUGAGUGAGGAAGGCCUUAGGGUUAUAAAGCUCUUUUACCCGGGAUGAUAAGGACAGUACCGGGAAAAAAAGCCCCGGCAAACUCCGU
Molecule: ribosomal RNA, 432 nt
Filed under: uncultured bacterium
Lineage: Bacteria
Description: partial 16S ribosomal RNA
Rfam family: Bacterial small subunit ribosomal RNA
Source: RNAcentral